Molecule: ribosomal RNA, 357 nt
Filed under: Triticum aestivum (bread wheat)
Lineage: Eukaryota; Viridiplantae; Streptophyta; Magnoliopsida; Poales; Poaceae
Description: partial small subunit ribosomal RNA
Source: RNAcentral
AUGAUUUGCCAGGGAAGCAUCGAACUAUUGCAGAAGAAACUUGAAGAAGUCAUGGGUCGGAAAAGAUUUUUACUUGUUCUCGAUGAUGUAUGGAAUGAAGAGAAGAGGACAUGGGAUGAUGAAUUGAAGCCACUAUUGUGCUCUGUUGGCGGACCAGGAAGUGUUAUAGUGGUCACGUGUCGAAGUAAGAAAGUGGCCUCUAUAAUGAGCACCGUUAAGCCCCAUGAGCUAGCAUUUUUGAGUGAAGAAGAUUCAUGGGAACUCUUUUCGAACAAAGCAUUUAACAAUGGUGUAGAAGAGCAAGUAGAGUUAGUUACCAUCGGAAGACGUAUAGUCAAUAAAUGCGGGGGAUUAUGA